AUUGAACGCUGGCGGCAGGCCUAACACAUGCAAGUCGAGCGGAGCGGAGGACGGGUGAGUAAUGCCUAGAAAUCUGCCUGGUAGUGGGGGAUAACGUCCGGAAACGGGCGCUAAUACCGCAUACUAUCCAGUGCGCCUAGGUCGGUUUAGCUAGUUGGUUGGGGAAAGGACUACCAAGGCGCCGAUCCGUCCCUGGUCUGAGAGGAUGAUCAGUCACACUGGAACUUAGACACGGUCCAGACUCCUACGGGAGGCAGCAGUGGGGAAGAUGGGACAAUGGGCGAAAGCCUGAUCCAGCCAUGCCGCGUGUGUGAAGAAGGUCUUCGGAUUGUAAAGCACUUUAAGUUGGGAGGCGUUACCAACAGAAUAAGCACCGGCUAACUUCGUGCCAGCAGCCGCGGUAAUAC
RNAcentral lists this ribosomal RNA (407 nucleotides) under uncultured bacterium. RNAcentral's name for it is "partial 16S ribosomal RNA". It matches the Rfam family "Bacterial small subunit ribosomal RNA", at positions 30 to 526 of the family's 1533-position model. The record is from RNAcentral.